This 88-nucleotide transfer RNA is filed under the name Candidatus Sphingobacterium stercoripullorum. Its description in RNAcentral is "tRNA-Ser". It matches the Rfam family "tRNA". Rfam says of the family: Transfer RNA (tRNA) molecules are approximately 80 nucleotides in length. Lineage: Bacteria; Pseudomonadati; Bacteroidota; Sphingobacteriia; Sphingobacteriales; Sphingobacteriaceae. The record is from RNAcentral.
GGAAAGGUGCUCGAGUGGUUGAAGAGGCACGCCUGGAAAGCGUGUAUACCCCAAAAGGGUAUCCGGGGUUCGAAUCCCCGUCUCUCCG